This 253-nucleotide ribosomal RNA is filed under the name uncultured bacterium. RNAcentral's name for it is "partial 16S ribosomal RNA". It matches the Rfam family "Bacterial small subunit ribosomal RNA", at positions 524 to 776 of the family's 1533-position model. The record is from RNAcentral.
UACGGAGGGUGCAAGCGUUAUCCGGAUUUAUUGGGUUUAAAGGGUCCGUAGGCGGAUCUGUAAGUCAGUGGUGAAAUCUCACAGCUUAACUGUGAAACUGCCAUUGAUACUGCAGGUCUUGAGUGUUAUUGAAGUAGCUGGAAUAAGUAGUGUAGCGGUGAAAUGCAUAGAUAUUACUUAGAACACCAAUUGCGAAGGUAGGUUACUAAGCAACAACUGGCGCUGAUGGACGAAAGCGUGGGGAGCGAACAGG